GUACUCACACUUUGUCAGCAUAUACACUAAAUUUGGAACAAUACAAGGGAGAUAAGUAUGGUCCCUUUACAAAGAUGACACGAAAUUCAUGAUGCUUUUCAUGCAAUU
This is a small nuclear RNA of Nannospalax galili (Upper Galilee mountains blind mole rat), 108 nucleotides long. The record is from Ensembl. Lineage: Eukaryota; Metazoa; Chordata; Mammalia; Rodentia; Spalacidae.